AUCUGCCCUGCACUCUGGGACAAGCCCUGGAAACGGGGUCUAAUACCGGAUAUGACACACGACCGCAUGGUCUGUGUGUGGAAAGCUCCGGCGGUGCAGGAUGAGCCCGCGGCCUAUCAGCUUGUUGGUGGGGUAAUGGCCUACCAAGGCGACGACGGGUAGCCGGCCUGAGAGGGCGACCGGCCACACUGGGACUGAGACACGGCCCAGACUCCUACGGGAGGCAGCAGUGGGGAAUAUUGCACAAUGGGCGAAAGCCUGAUGCAGCGACGCCGCGUGAGGGAUGACGGCCUUCGGGUUGUAAACCUCUUUCAGCAGGGAAGAAGCGCAAGUGACGGUACCUGCAGAAGAAGCGCCGGCUAACUACGUGCCAGCAGCCGCGGUAAUACGUAGGGCGCAAGCGUUGUCCGGAAUUAUUGGGCGUAAAGAGCUCGUAGGCGGCUUGUCGCGUCGGAUGUGAAAGCCCGGGGCUUAACCCCGGGUCUGCAUUCGAUACGGGCAGGCUAGAGUUCGGUAGGGGAGAUCGGAAUUC
This 532-nucleotide ribosomal RNA is filed under the name Streptomyces sp. SAUK6011. RNAcentral describes it as "bacterial SSU rRNA". It matches the Rfam family "Bacterial small subunit ribosomal RNA", at positions 124 to 669 of the family's 1533-position model. The record is from RNAcentral. Lineage: Bacteria; Bacillati; Actinomycetota; Actinomycetes; Kitasatosporales; Streptomycetaceae.